This 2797-nucleotide ribosomal RNA is filed under the name Escherichia coli. RNAcentral's name for it is "bacterial LSU rRNA". Lineage: Bacteria; Pseudomonadati; Pseudomonadota; Gammaproteobacteria; Enterobacterales; Enterobacteriaceae. The record is from RNAcentral.
UUAAGCGACUAAGCGUACACGGUGGAUGCCCUGGCAGUCAGAGGCGAUGAAGGACGUGCUAAUCUGCGAUAAGCGUCGGUAAGGUGAUAUGAACCGUUACCCCGAGGAAAAGAAAUCAACCGAGAUUCCCCCAGUAGCGGCGAGCGAACGGGGAGSAGCCCAGAGCCUGAAUCAGURUGUGUGUUAGUGGAAGCGUCUGGAAAGGCGCGCGAUACAGGGUGACAGCCCCGUACACAAAAAUGCACAURYUGUGAGCUCGAUGAGUAGGGCGGGACACGUGGUAUCCUGUCUGAAUAUGGGGGGACCAUCCUCCAAGGCUAAAUACUCCUGACUGACCGAUAGUGAACCAGUACCGUGAGGGAAAGGCGAAAAGAACCCCGGCGAGGGGAGUGAAAAAGAACCUGAAACCGUGUACGUACAAGCAGUGGGAGCACGCUUMGGCGUGUGACUGCGUACCUUUUGUAUAAUGGGUCAGCGACUUAUAUUCUGUAGCAAGGUUAACCGAAUAGGGGAGCCGAAGGGAAACCGAGUCUUAACUGGGCGUUAAGUUGCAGGGUAUAGACCCGAAACCCGGUGAUCUAGCCAUGGGCAGGUUGAAGGUUGGGUAACACUAACUGGAGGACCGAACCGACUAAUGUUGAAAAAUUAGCGGAUGACUUGUGGCUGGGGGUGAAAGGCCAAUCAAACCGGGAGAUAGCUGGUUCUCCCCGAAAGCUAUUUAGGUAGCGCCUCGUGAAUUCAUCUCCGGGGGUAGAGCACUGUUUCGGCAAGGGGGUCAUCCCGACUUACCAACCCGAUGCAAACUGCGAAUACCGGAGAAUGUUAUCACGGGAGACACACGGCGGGUGCUAACGUCCGUCGUGAAGAGGGAAACAACCCAGACCGCCAGCUAAGGUCCCAAAGUCAUGGUUAAGUGGGAAACGAUGUGGGAAGGCCCAGACAGCCAGGAUGUUGGCUUAGAAGCAGCCAUCAUUUAAAGAAAGCGUAAUAGCUCACUGGUCGAGUCGGCCUGCGCGGAAGAUGUAACGGGGCUAAACCAUGCACCGAAGCUGCGGCAGCGACGCUUAUGCGUUGUUGGGUAGGGGAGCGUUCUGUAAGCCUGYGAAGGUGURCUGUGAGGYAUGCUGGAGGUAUCAGAAGUGCGAAUGCUGACAUAAGUAACGAUAAAGCGGGUGAAAAGCCCGCUCGCCGGAAGACCAAGGGUUCCUGUCCAACGUUAAUCGGGGCAGGGUGAGUCGACCCCUAAGGCGAGGCCGAAAGGCGUAGUCGAUGGAAAACAGGUUAAUAUUCCUGUACUUGGUGUUACUGCGAAGGGGGGACGGAGAAGGCUAUGUUGGCCGGGCGACGGUUGUCCCGGUUUAAGCGUGUAGGCUGGUUUUCCAGGCAAAUCCGGAAAAUCAAGGCUGAGGCGUGAUGACGAGGCACUACGGUGCUGAAGCAACAAAUGCCCUGCUUCCAGGAAAAGCCUCUAAGCAUCAGGUAACAUCAAAUCGUACCCCAAACCGACACAGGUGGUCAGGUAGAGAAUACCAAGGCGCUUGAGAGAACUCGGGUGAAGGAACUAGGCAAAAUGGUGCCGUAACUUCGGGAGAAGGCACGCUGAUAUGUAGGUGAAGCGACUUGCUCGUGGAGCUGAAAUCAGUCGAAGAUACCAGCUGGCUGCAACUGUUUAUUAAAAACACAGCACUGUGCAAACACGAAAGUGGACGUAUACGGUGUGACGCCUGCCCGGUGCCGGAAGGUUAAUUGAUGGGGUUAGCGCAAGCGAAGCUCUUGAUCGAAGCCCCGGUAAACGGCGGCCGUAACUAUAACGGUCCUAAGGUAGCGAAAUUCCUUGUCGGGUAAGUUCCGACCUGCACGAAUGGCGUAAUGAUGGCCAGGCUGUCUCCACCCGAGACUCAGUGAAAUUGAACUCGCUGUGAAGAUGCAGUGUACCCGCGGCAAGACGGAAAGACCCCGUGAACCUUUACUAUAGCUUGACACUGAACAUUGAGCCUUGAUGUGUAGGAUAGGUGGGAGGCUUUGAAGUGUGGACGCCAGUCUGCAUGGAGCCGACCUUGAAAUACCACCCUUUAAUGUUUGAUGUUCUAACGUUGACCCGUAAUCCGGGUUGCGGACAGUGUCUGGUGGGUAGUUUGACUGGGGCGGUCUCCUCCUAAAGAGUAACGGAGGAGCACGAAGGUUGGCUAAUCCUGGUCGGACAUCAGGAGGUUAGUGCAAUGGCAUAAGCCAGCUUGACUGCGAGCGUGACGGCGCGAGCAGGUGCGAAAGCAGGUCAUAGUGAUCCGGUGGUUCUGAAUGGAAGGGCCAUCGCUCAACGGAUAAAAGGUACUCCGGGGAUAACAGGCUGAUACCGCCCAAGAGUUCAUAUCGACGGCGGUGUUUGGCACCUCGAUGUCGGCUCAUCACAUCCUGGGGCUGAAGUAGGUCCCAAGGGUAUGGCUGUUCGCCAUUUAAAGUGGUACGCGAGCUGGGUUUAGAACGUCGUGAGACAGUUCGGUCCCUAUCUGCCGUGGGCGCUGGAGAACUGAGGGGGGCUGCUCCUAGUACGAGAGGACCGGAGUGGACGCAUCACUGGUGUUCGGGUUGUCAUGCCAAUGGCACUGCCCGGUAGCUAAAUGCGGAAGAGAUAAGUGCUGAAAGCAUCUAAGCACGAAACUUGCCCCGAGAUGAGUUCUCCCUGACNNNNNNNNNNNNNNNNNNNNNNNNNNNNNNNNNNNNNNNNNNNNNNGUAGCGCGGUGGUCCCACCUGACCCCAUGCCGAACUCAGAAGUGAAACGCCGUAGCGCCGAUGGUA